GGAGUUGUGGCAUAGGGGCAGAGCAUCUGCUUGGCAUGCAGAAGAAACCAGGUUCAAUCCCCGGCAGCAUCUCCA
RNAcentral lists this transfer RNA (75 nucleotides) under Sphaerodactylus townsendi. RNAcentral describes it as "tRNA-Ala". It matches the Rfam family "tRNA". From Rfam's summary of the family: Transfer RNA (tRNA) molecules are approximately 80 nucleotides in length. Their secondary structure includes four short double-helical elements and three loops (D, anti-codon, and T loops). The record is from RNAcentral. Lineage: Eukaryota; Metazoa; Chordata; Lepidosauria; Squamata; Sphaerodactylidae.